UAAUUGAAGAGUUUGAUCAUGGCUCAGAUUGAACGCUGGCGGCAGGCCUAACACAUGCAAGUCGAGCGGCAGCGGGGAGUAGCUUGCUACUCUGCCGGCGAGCGGCGGACGGGUGAGU
This 118-nucleotide ribosomal RNA is filed under the name Shewanella sp. 4t3-1-2LB. RNAcentral's name for it is "partial 16S ribosomal RNA". It matches the Rfam family "Bacterial small subunit ribosomal RNA", at positions 1 to 111 of the family's 1533-position model. The record is from RNAcentral. Lineage: Bacteria; Pseudomonadati; Pseudomonadota; Gammaproteobacteria; Alteromonadales; Shewanellaceae.